Molecule: ribosomal RNA, 893 nt
Filed under: Streptomyces sp.
Lineage: Bacteria; Bacillati; Actinomycetota; Actinomycetes; Kitasatosporales; Streptomycetaceae
Description: bacterial SSU rRNA
Rfam family: Bacterial small subunit ribosomal RNA
Source: RNAcentral
AGAGUUUGAUCCUGGCUCAGGACGAACGCUGGCGGCGUGCUUAACACAUGCAAGUCGAACGAUGAAGCCCUUCGGGGUGGAUUAGUGGCGAACGGGUGAGUAACACGUGGGCAAUCUGCCCUUCACUCUGGGACAAGCCCUGGAAACGGGGUCUAAUACCGGAUAACACUCCUGCCUGCAUGGGUGGGGGUUAAAAGCUCCGGCGGUGAAGGAUGAGCCCGCGGCCUAUCAGCUUGUUGGUGGGGUAAUGGCCUACCAAGGCGACGACGGGUAGCCGGCCUGAGAGGGCGACCGGCCACACUGGGACUGAGACACGGCCCAGACUCCUACGGGAGGCAGCAGUGGGGAAUAUUGCACAAUGGGCGAAAGCCUGAUGCAGCGACGCCGCGUGAGGGAUGACGGCCUUCGGGUUGUAAACCUCUUUCAGCAGGGAAGAAGCGAAAGUGACGGUACCUGCAGAAGAAGCGCCGGCUAACUACGUGCCAGCAGCCGCGGUAAUACGUAGGGCGCAAGCGUUGUCCGGAAUUAUUGGGCGUAAAGAGCUCGUAGGCGGCUUGUCGCGUCGGAUGUGAAAGCCCGGGGCUUAACCCCGGGUCUGCAUUCGAUACGGGCAGGCUAGAGUGUGGUAGGGGAGAUCGGAAUUCCUGGUGUAGCGGUGAAAUGCGCAGAUAUCAGGAGGAACACCGGUGGCGAAGGCGGAUCUCUGGGCCAUUACUGACGCUGAGGAGCGAAAGCGUGGGGAGCGAACAGGAUUAGAUACCCUGGUAGUCCACGCCGUAAACGUUGGGAACUAGGUGUUGGCGACAUUCCACGUCGUCGGUGCCGCAGCUAACGCAUUAAGUUCCCCGCCUGGGGAGUACGGCCGCAAGGCUAAAACUCAAAGGAAUUGACGG